This 913-nucleotide small RNA is filed under the name Histoplasma capsulatum. RNAcentral's name for it is "hypothetical RNA". Lineage: Eukaryota; Fungi; Ascomycota; Eurotiomycetes; Onygenales; Ajellomycetaceae. RNAcentral also lists the same sequence under 1 other name. The record is from RNAcentral.
ACCUCACCAUUCACCCAACCCAAUUCAAUCACCCUGGAGCCAACCAACGACGGAUCGAUCCGUGCUACGAGAAACAUAUAUAAAGAGCGUCGCAGCCAGUCAUGGCCGAUCCCCAGCCGCCGCCGUCAGACUUACAAGUACAAGCAACAGCACAAUCGGCACCUCCAACAACCGCAUCUGCUCCCACUACAGAAAAACCUGAGCUCUCAAACCCUCCAGAUCCAGAUAACAGUCCAUCGACCUCCGCCAUCCCCACAGACAAUGCUGCCAAUAGCAACACGAAUAUCGAAAUGAACAAUAGUAAUAAUACUAAUGCUAAUCCUAAUAACACCUCGACGACAACUCGGCCAGAUGUCACGAUGAGCGGUACCAGCGAAGCCACGACGGCAUCUACUAUGGCUGCCAGCUAUCAAUCGAUGACAACGUCUGCAACGACGAUGACAACGAUGACGGCACCAGCUGCGGCUGCGGCUGCGGCCACUGGCCCUGGCACAAGCACCACUGCGCCAACAGGAAUAAUUGCACCAGGAAUCCCAAUAGAUGCUGGAGUGAAUCCCGUCGCGGCUGUGCCAGUGCUGCCCCCGUCAAAGAAGGAUACGAGCCUACGCGAGUUUUUGGGACAGAUGGAUGAAUAUGCACCUAUUAUCCCCGAUGCCGUAACAGCACACUACCUAACCCUCGCCGGCCUUCCGCCCCCAGGAAAUGGCCCAAACCAUACUCCUCCGCACCUCGCCCGCCUUCUCGCCCUCGCCACACAGAAGUUCGUCGCCGAUAUCGCCGCAGACGCCUACCAAUACUCCCGCAUCCGCAGCUCGAACACUUCCUCGAAUAACCCCAUGGGCGCCAUAAAUCUCUCCACGGGCUUGGCGCACGGGCUAGCUGCUGCUGGAGGUGCUGCCGGGGGUACUGCAGG